UACGUAGGGUGCAAGCGUUGUCCGGAAUUAUUGGGCGUAAAGAGCUCGUAGGCGGUUUGUCGCGUCUGCUGUGAAAACUCGGGGCUUAACCCCGGGCCUGCAGUGGGUACGGGCAGACUAGAGUGCGGUAGGGGAGACUGGAAUUCCUGGUGUAGCGGUGAAAUGCGCAGAUAUCAGGAGGAACACCGGUGGCGAAGGCGGGUCUCUGGGCCUUACCUGACGCUCAGGCACGAAAGCGUGGGGAGCGAACAGG
This 253-nucleotide ribosomal RNA is filed under the name uncultured bacterium. RNAcentral describes it as "partial 16S ribosomal RNA". It matches the Rfam family "Bacterial small subunit ribosomal RNA", at positions 524 to 776 of the family's 1533-position model. The record is from RNAcentral.